AAUGAACGUUGGCGGCGUGGAUUAGGCAUGCAAGUCGAGCGAGAAUUUGCGAUUGGAAGCUUCGGCCGAAGAAAGUGAAGGAAAGCGGCAAACGGCGUAGUAAGGCGUAGGUACGUACCCUCGGGUCGGGAAUAGCCAUGGGAAACUGUGGGUAAUGCCCGAUAAUCUCUGCGGAGCAAAGAUGUGAUUCCGCCGGAGGAGCGGCUUACGUGAUAUUAGCUAGUUGGUGGGGUAAUGGCCUACCAAGGCAACGAUGUCUAGGGGGUGUGAGAGCAUGGCCCCCACGACGGAACUGAGACACUGUCCGGACACCUACGGGUGGGCUGCAGUCGAGAAUCUUCCGCAAUGGGCGAAAGACCUGACGGAGCGACGCCGCGUGGUGGAU
RNAcentral lists this ribosomal RNA (385 nucleotides) under uncultured bacterium. RNAcentral's name for it is "bacterial SSU rRNA". It matches the Rfam family "Bacterial small subunit ribosomal RNA", at positions 29 to 409 of the family's 1533-position model. The record is from RNAcentral.